GACGAACGCUGGCGGCGUGCUUAACACAUGCAAGUCGAACGGAAAGGCCUUUUCGGAGGUACUCGAGUGGCGAACGGGUGAGUAACACGUGGGUGAUCUGCCCUGCACUCUGGGAUAAGCCUUGGAAACUGGGUCUAAUACCGGAUAGGACCGCACUUUAGUGUGUGUGGUGGGAAGUUUUUUCGGUGUAGGAUGAGCCCGCGGCCUAUCAGCUUGUUGGUGGGGUAAUGGCCUACCAAGGCGGCGACGGGUAGCCGGACUGAGAGGUUGGUCGGCCACAUUGGGACUGAGAUACGGCCCAGACUACAACGGGAGGCAGCAGGGGGGAAUAUUGCACAAUGGGCGCAAGCCUGAUGCAGCGACGCCGCGUGGGGGAUGACGGACUUCGGGUUGUAAACUCCUUUCGCCAGGGACGAAGCGUUUUGUGACGGUACCUGGAGAAGAAGCACCGGCUAACUACGUG
Molecule: ribosomal RNA, 463 nt
Filed under: uncultured bacterium
Lineage: Bacteria
Description: partial 16S ribosomal RNA
Rfam family: Bacterial small subunit ribosomal RNA
Source: RNAcentral